Molecule: ribosomal RNA, 521 nt
Filed under: uncultured Glomeraceae
Lineage: Eukaryota; Fungi; Glomeromycota; Glomeromycetes; Glomerales; Glomeraceae
Description: SSU rRNA
Rfam family: Eukaryotic small subunit ribosomal RNA
Source: RNAcentral
AGCAGCCGCGGUAAUUCCAGCUCCAAUAGCGUAUAUUAAAGUUGUUGCAGUUAAAAAGCUCGUAGUUGAAUUUCGAGAUCAAAUUGUUGGUCGUGCCUCGGUACGCACUGGCAUUAUUGAUUUCUCCCUUCUGAAGAACCUUGAUGUCAUUAAUUUGGUGUCUUGGGGAAUCAGGACCGUUACUUUGAAAAAAUUAGAGUGUUUAAAGCAGGCUCACGCUUGAAUACAUUAGCAUGGAAUAAUGAAAUAGGACGUUUGAUUCUAUUUUGUUGGUUUCUAGGAUCGACGUAAUGAUUAAUAGGGAUAGUUGGGGGCAUUAGUAUUCAAUUGUCAGAGGUGAAAUUCUUGGAUUUAUUGAAGACUAACUACUGCGAAAGCAUUUGCCAAGGAUGUUUUCAUUAAUCAAGAACGAAAGUUAGGGGAUCGAAGACGAUCAGAUACCGUCGUAGUCUUAACCAUAAACUAUGCCGACUAGGGAUCGGAUGAUGUUAAUUUUUUAAUGACUCAUUCGGCGCCUUACG